Molecule: long non-coding RNA, 2201 nt
Organism: Amphiprion ocellaris (clown anemonefish)
Lineage: Eukaryota; Metazoa; Chordata; Actinopteri; Pomacentridae
Exons: 2
Source: RefSeq, a predicted model, not a curated record
UUAAAAAUCAGCUGUUUCCAGUUAGAAUAAUCAUUUACCACAUUAACAAUGUCUAGACUGUAUUUCUGAUUAAUGUUAUCUUCAUUGGGGGAAAAAAAUGCUUUUCUAACAAAAAUAAAGACAUUUCUAAGUGACCCCAAACUUUUGAACGGUAGUGUAUAGCAAAGAAAUAUGUAACACACUGUUUGUGUUUAUGCUCUGCACUUCUCCAUACAGCUCAGAGCUGUUUCAAAGGAAUAUUGUCACUUCUAAAGAAAAGCCCUGUUCAUUUCCAGCCAAUCAUUUCAGUUUUCUUCUUCAUCUGUAUUCAGAAAGCAGCUCCGAGGGCACGAUCCAACUGGCAACAGACAGGACUGAAGAAACAGAAGAGAAGAAAAAGCCGUCCAGGUAGAUAAGGUUCAUCUGGGAUAUGCUACACUCACAAUCUCAUUGCUAUUCUGGAUCCAGACUUGACAUUUCUCUCAUUCGUUCCAAAUGUGACCGUAUCUGAUCCAGCCGGUCUGUUGGAGCCACGACUAUAAAGUCCAAGUCAGGUCUGUCGUUUCCUGAAAUAAAAUCUCCCUCUUUUCAUUGUAGGCAUGUGAAAAAGCAAUUUUGCACAUAAAUGCAUCCAUUUAUCGAAUAAAAAGGCCACAUGAAUCACUUGAUAACGUUUAGUCUUCAUUAAAUCUACAUGCAGUCCAAAUCAAUGUACACGCAAAGGCCAAAAAAAAAAAAAAUGGAGCAGUAGUUUUAAAGUUCAAGUUGCCUGUACUCUGAUCUGUGGUAUGGAUCAGAGGAAGCUUGAUACCGGUUUGCAUCAUGACCUUUCCGUCUCGCUGAAAUGACAACUGACACAAAAUCGUCCAGAUUGUUGUGCAUCUGUUGGCAUUUUAAUAAUCAAACAACUAUAUCAUAGACAAGGCGUGCACAUCAAAGUGCUGGAUGCCAACCUGCUGUACUGAGUACAAAUUAUACACAUUCAAGGAUAGUGGUGAACCAUCAUCUUCGAGGAACAAAUGUGGUCGGUCAUGUGGUCUGAUGAGUCCAGAUUUACCCUGUUCCAAAGUGAUGGAUGCAUCAGGGUAAGAAGUAAGGCAGAUGAAGUGAUGCACCCAUCAUGCCUAGUGCCUACAAGCCUGUGGAGGUUAUGAUCUGGGGUUGGUCAGGUUCAGCAACAUUAUGUUCCGAAAGAAUGAGGUCAGCUGAAGACCUGAAUAUAGUGAAUGACCACGUCUUUCCAUCAAUGGAGUUUUGUUCCCUGAUGGUAUACUCAUGUUUCAAGAUGACGAUGCCAGGAUUCAUGGGGCUCACAUUGUGAAUGAGUGGUUCAGGGAGCAGGAGACAUCAUUUUCACACACGGAUUGGCCUCCACUGAGUCCAGACCUCAGCCCCAUUGAGAAUAUUUGGGAUGUUCUAGAGAAGACUUUGUGCAGCGGUCCGACUCUCCCAUCAUCAAUAUAAGAUCUUGGUUAAAAAUUAAUGCAAUUCUGGACAGAAAUAAAUGCUGUAACAUUCCAGAAGCUUAUCAAAACGAUGCCGCAGCAAAUGAGUGCUGUACUCAAAGCUAAAUGUGGUCCAACAAAACAUGAGUGUGCGACUUUUUUUUUUUGUUUUUUGGUAUUUCCAGUAUUUUUUCAGUCCUUUAUUCCAACAAAUAGUAUUGUAGACUUCUAAACUUGACACUGUAAUCAUAAUAUAUGUAUACACUACCAUUCAAAAGUUUGGGGUCACUCAAACAAUUUCAUGUUUUCCAUGAAAACUCACUUUUAUUCAUGUGCUAACAUAAUUGCACAAGGGUUUUCUAAUCAUCAAUUAGCCUUUCAACACCAUUAGCUAACACAAUGUAGCAUUAGAACACAGGAGUGAUGGUUGCUGGAAAUGUUCCUCUGUACCCCUAUGUAGAUAUUCCAUUAAAAAUCAGCUGUUUCCAGCUAGAAUAGUCAUUUACCACAUUAACAAUGUCUAGACUGUAUUUCUGAUUAAUUUAAUGUUUUCUUCAUUGAAAGAAACUGCUUUUCUUUCAAAAAUAAGGACAUUUCAAAGUGACCCCAAACUUUUGAACAGUAGUGUAUAUGUAUACGUAUCGAAAGGUGGCAUAUAAGAUGGAAAUAUGUGCAUAAAAAUGACCAUUGGAAUGUACAGUUGCUGCAUUGUUAUCAGUGUAUGUAUUAGUAUUUGGAAUGUUUGGACAAAUAAACCCAUGUUUGGUGUCGUCACUA